Molecule: ribosomal RNA, 278 nt
Filed under: uncultured Carnobacteriaceae bacterium
Lineage: Bacteria; Bacillati; Bacillota; Bacilli; Lactobacillales; Carnobacteriaceae
Description: partial 16S ribosomal RNA
Rfam family: Bacterial small subunit ribosomal RNA
Source: RNAcentral
GUGCCAGCCGCCGCGGUAAUACGUAGGUGGCAAGCGUUGUCCGGAUUUAUUGGGCGUAAAGCGAGCGCAGGCGGUUCUUUAAGUCUGAUGUGAAAGCCCCCGGCUCAACCGGGGAGGGUCAUUGGAAACUGGAGAACUUGAGUGCAGAAGAGGAGAGUGGAAUUCCACGUGUAGCGGUGAAAUGCGUAGAUAUGUGGAGGAACACCAGUGGCGAAGGCGACUCUCUGGUCUGUAACUGACGCUGAGGCUCGAAAGCGUGGGGAGCAAACAGGAUUAGA